This is a non-coding RNA of Camelina sativa (false flax), 103 nucleotides long. The record is from RefSeq and is a predicted model, not a curated record. NCBI's taxonomy places the organism in Eukaryota, Viridiplantae, Streptophyta, Magnoliopsida, Brassicales, Brassicaceae.
CAUCGACAAGCAAAGGAAAGAAAAUGAGAUGGAAACAUGGAAUACCUUGGUACAUGAGCCAGGGUCUGAUAGUUUUGACCAUAUAACACCUAUACCCUCUCGG